ACCUGGUUAAUACAAACGUAGUCUGGGUAAACAUGCAGGAGUUGCCAUGCAGAAUAGAGGCAGAGCAUUCUUUACCACCACUGUACUGACUCAGUUUAAUCACACACCCCGAAGUUUAUUUUGUGGAAGUGGCACCGUGAAAUGCUGUCAUAGAAUCCUGCAAGGCAUUUUGGGACGUGUAGUUCAGCCUUCAACAGGAAGACCACCGGAGCUGGGGGCAGAUGCUUCAGGGAAGGAUGCCUUAUGUGUGCACGUUCUCCAUACUGUCCUGCAUUGUUCCCUUCUUUACCUCACCGCUUAGAUGCAGUGCAGUGCAGGACAUAUUUGUUGGCAAUCAUGAGGGCUUUGGAGAGGAACCGAAUGGUGGAAACUGAGAUUUCCAAAGCCUCCUACAUUUUAGGGCAGCACUCUAAUUACAGAGCAGGAUUUCUGAGUCUAAAAUCUUUCUUGUGGGCUUGAUAAUUUUUGUGUUUUCCUCCUUUAGACAUAACCUUGAUGAUAACCUUGAUACGGGAUAUGUUUCCCUUGGAAUGCCAAACAAAGAUCGUUUUAUGCUUUUGAGUCAUAGUUAUAAAUAAUGUUGCUUAUUAUAUACUCCAAACUCAUUCAACAAAAAUUUAUGGAGCACGUACUCUGGGCCAACAUUGUUGCAGCCACUAAGGAUAUAGCAGGGAGCUAAACUAAGUCCCUGUCCUCAUGGAACUGACCUUCCAGUAUGGGAAGACAGAACACCCAGUAGUUCUGUGGCAGGGUAAGUGGCCUCUCACUGUUGUGGCCUCUCCCGUUGCAGAGCACAGGCUCAGCGGCCAUGGCUCACGGGCCCAGCCGCUCCGCGACGUGUGGGAUCCUCCCAGACCGGGGCACGAACCCGUGUCCCCUGCAUCGGCAGGUGGACUCUCAACCACUGCGCCACCAGGGAAGCCCUCUGCUCUUCUUUUUGGAUCAUUAUAGAUCAAAGAAAAUCUUCUUGGGCAAAUCUUGAAAUUAAGAAAAUAUUGGGAUUGUGCUCCA
Long non-coding RNA from Lagenorhynchus albirostris (white-beaked dolphin), 1011 nucleotides. RefSeq lists it as uncharacterized. Lineage: Eukaryota; Metazoa; Chordata; Mammalia; Artiodactyla; Delphinidae. The record is from RefSeq and is a predicted model, not a curated record. The transcript is spliced from 2 exons.